RNAcentral lists this non-coding RNA (23 nucleotides) under Cricetulus griseus (Chinese hamster). Lineage: Eukaryota; Metazoa; Chordata; Mammalia; Rodentia; Cricetidae. The record is from RNAcentral.
UGUCAAGGAUCUGGUGGUGCUGC